GCCGGCGUAGCUCAGUGGCAGAGCAGCUGAUUCGUAAUCAGCAGGUCGGAGGUUCGAAUCCUCUCGCCGGCUCCA
This 75-nucleotide transfer RNA is filed under the name Dictyoglomota bacterium. RNAcentral describes it as "Dictyoglomi bacterium (hydrothermal vent metagenome) tRNA-Thr". It matches the Rfam family "tRNA". From Rfam's summary of the family: Transfer RNA (tRNA) molecules are approximately 80 nucleotides in length. Their secondary structure includes four short double-helical elements and three loops (D, anti-codon, and T loops). The record is from RNAcentral. RNAcentral also lists the same sequence under 1 other name. Lineage: Bacteria; Pseudomonadati; Dictyoglomota.